AGUUUUGAGCUAAAUAUAUUUAUAAUAUUAGUUAUUUAUGAAGGUGUUGUAAAAUCUUUAUUUAAAAUUAUAUUUAGGGGUGAUAGGCCUUUCAAAAACUAAGAUAUCUUGAAUCUAAUUAAAAGUAUGUAGUACAAUUAACACAACUAUUAAGUGAUUAGGCUUUAUAGAAUUAUUAACUUAUAAGAUUUUAUUUACUAUAAUUUAAUAAUUAAGUACAUAAAUAUAUUAAUAUUCAUAUAUUAUAGUUUAUAAAAGAGUAAUUAGAUAGAUUUAAGUUCAUAUUUCUUAUAAUAAUGUUAAUAUUAGUAUUAAAUUUAUAUUUAUAUGAUGAACUCGGCAAAAAUACUUUCUCAACUGUUUAUCAAAAACAUAACUAUGUGAUUGAAUACAUAGCGGUUUCUGCUCAA
RNAcentral lists this ribosomal RNA (410 nucleotides) under Mandarina aureola. RNAcentral describes it as "partial 16S ribosomal RNA". The record is from RNAcentral. Lineage: Eukaryota; Metazoa; Mollusca; Gastropoda; Stylommatophora; Camaenidae.